UUUUGUCUUCUUUGAACAGAUACAUCUGUCUGAAGAAAGCAGGAAUGUGUCCUGAAAGAGUUACCGUAUCUCCCAGAAUGGCCUCAGGAGAAUUCAAACAUACUGCAAUCACAGGUCUCCCCAUGAGGAACUGGCGGGUCUCAGGCUAUUGAAUGUGACGACACCACCUUCUAUCACAUGCACAUUCAGAAAGGAAGUGUUUCGAUCUGUGCCCAAAGGUUAAACUACAGCACUCAGCCAACAUGGAAACAAGGUAUGUGUGUGUCACAUACUAAUACAGCUCAUUACACCCUAAAAGCACAGUUGCAAAUGCCAUGGUUUAAACCAGUGUUCUUAUGACUUAAAAAAGCUUAAAAACGAUAUUUUGGUGUUUCUGCAUUGGUUUUUAAAAAUAGAGCUUAAAAUGGUCAUGUUCUGAUGCCAGAAUACUGUCAAACAGGCUCAAUACAUCCUAAAAGCAGAGUUGCAAUUGCUUGGUUUACACUAGUGUGUCUAAGGCCUGAAAAGCUCAAAAACAAUGUUUUAGUGUUUCUGCAUUGGUUUCCAUCAGAGCAGCCUCCAAUGGUCAUGUUUUGAUUCCUAAAUACUGUCAGACAGCUCAAUGCAUCCUAAAUGUACAGUUGCAUAUGGCUUAGUUUAAAGUAGUGUUCUUAUGAACUGAAAAGCUCAAAACGAUGUUUUAGUGUUUAUAAAUUGCUUUCUAACAUUACAGCUUAAGAUGGUCAUGUUCUGAUGCCAGGCAACUUUAAAACAGCUCAAUACACCAGAAAAGCACAGUUGCAUAUGCCGUGGUUUAAACUAGUGUUCUUAUGACCUGAAAAGCUCAAAAACAAUGUUUUAGUGUUUCUGCAUUGGUUUCCAUCAAAACAGCCUCUAAAGAUCAUGUUCUGGGGCCAGGCUACUUUAAAACAGCUCAAUGCAUCCUAAAUGUACAGUUGCAUAUGCCGUGGUUUAAACUAGUGUUCUUAUGACCUGAAAAGCUCAAAAACGAUGUUUUAGUAUUUCUGCAUUGGUUUCUAACAUUCUAGCUUAUAAUGAUCAUGUUAUGAUGGCAGAAUAAUUUAAAACAGCUCAGUACAACAAAAAACAUAAUUGUAAUUGACGUGGCCUAAACUAGUGUUCUUAUGGUCUGAAAAGCUCAAAAACAAUGUUUUAGUGUUUCUGCAUUGGUUUCCAUCAAAACAGCCUCUAAAGAUCAUGUUCUGGGGCCAGGCUACUUUAAAACAGCUCAAUGCAUCCUGAAUGUACAGUUGCAUAUGCCGUGGUUUAAACUAGUGUUCUUAUGGCCUGAAAAGCUCAAAAACGAUGUUUUAGUAUUUCUGCAUUGGUUUCUAACAUUACAGCUUAUAAUGAUCAUGUUAUGAUGGCAGGAUAAUUUAAAACAGCUCAGUACAACAAAAAACAUAAUUGUAAAUGACGUGGCCUAAAUUAGUGUCCUUAUGACCUGAAAAGCUCAAAAACAAUGUUUUAGUGUUUCUGCAUUUGUUUCCAUCAAAACAGCCUCUAAAGAUCAUGUUCUGGGGCCAGGCUACUUUAAAACAGCUCAA
Long non-coding RNA from Betta splendens (Siamese fighting fish), 1547 nucleotides. RefSeq lists it as uncharacterized. NCBI's taxonomy places the organism in Eukaryota, Metazoa, Chordata, Actinopteri, Anabantiformes, Osphronemidae. The transcript has 3 exons. The record is from RefSeq and is a predicted model, not a curated record.